UUGAGGUCACAUUAAUGAUGAGUUGUCCAAGGACGGUUGGAAAGCUGAACUGCCCCUUACAUUCAAUAGCGUAGAUAGUUAUCACACCAAUGAACAGGUUGUUCUGCUAAUGCAUUUCAGGAGAGCUGAACCCCGUUUAUGAGGCCAGCAAACUCCCACAUCCAAACCAUUCCACAAGAGAAUGGUUGAUAUAUAUAUAU
Molecule: unclassified non-coding RNA, 200 nt
Filed under: uncultured fungus
Lineage: Eukaryota; Fungi
Description: sequence contains ITS1, 5.8S rRNA gene, ITS2 and 28S rRNA gene
Source: RNAcentral